Juglans regia (Persian walnut) is the source of this 2868-nucleotide RNA transcript. It is a transcript of the gene named L-type lectin-domain containing receptor kinase IX.1-like, with no coding region annotated. The transcript is spliced from 3 exons. Lineage: Eukaryota; Viridiplantae; Streptophyta; Magnoliopsida; Fagales; Juglandaceae. The record is from RefSeq and is a predicted model, not a curated record.
UUCAUACUUGAUGUCAAUUUGCAAGCCUCAGAACUCAAAAUUCUCUCCCCAAAUCUCAAGUCCCAAAGUCCCGAUUCCCAACCAUGGCGUUCCAUCCUCCAAAGCUACUUCGUCCCUACAUGUUUAUAACCAUUUUCCUCCUUUUCAUAAUCCCUUGUGCAACUCAGCUAUUCUUCAACUACUCGGAUUUCAAUCAAGCUAUCAACCGAACUAUAAGACUUGCUGGAAACGCUACUCUCUCAGGUUCAGCAGCCAUCCAACUCACCCCAAGUGCAGUGGACAACUGGGGUCGAGCCAUAUAUUCACAACUGCUGCAUAUCUGGGAGGAACCCGGAAAACUCGCAGACUUCAAUACCAGCUUCUCAUUUAUCAUUGAUUCGGAAGGUAAAGACAUUCAUUCAGAUGGGAUUGUAUUCUUCCUCACAAGCCCCGGUUUCCCAAUUCCUAGACCAACAGAUGGCGCUGGCAUUGGCCUUCUAAGCCGCAUCCAGUUGAACGACUCGAGUUUCUUAGCUGAAAAUAAAUUCGUUGCAGUGGAGUUUGAUACGUAUUCGAACUCCGAAUGGGACCCGCCCGAGCCUGUCCAAGAACACGUUGGUAUCAAUAUCAACGAUAUGAGAUCUACGAACUAUGCACCAUGGGAUGCUGUUAUUACCGAAAACCGGACAUAUAGUGCAAGUAUUAGUUACCAUUCCUCCACGCAAAAUCUAAGUGUCACCUUCACUGGGUUCGAUAAUGGUGUCACCCCGAUUCAACGGCACCUUUCUUCUAUAGUGAACUUGACAGAUUACCUGCCGGAAUGGGUUGAAUUUGGCUUCUCAGCAUCGACGGGAUUGGUUACCGAGUUGCAUAUUAUUUGUUCUUGGUCUUUUAACUCCACAUCACCUUUUCGGAUACAGACUCCGGCUGUACCAAAGAAGAAUGGAGAUGGAAGCAAGAGAAAAUUGGUGCUGGGCUUGAGCGUGGGUGGAUGCAUUUUAAUCAGUGGUAUGGGGUUGGUUUGGCUUGUGUAUAGAAAGAGGACUAAAAGGGGAGAGGAAGAGGAUUUAAGCUUUAUUCUUUCCAUGGACGAGGAGUUUGAACGAGGUACAGGGCCAAAGAAGUUUUCUUACGAGGAAUUGGUUUCUGCAACGAAUAAUUUUGCAGAGGAAAACAAGCUUGGAGAAGGAGGGUUCGGAGGUGUUUACAAAGGAUUUAUAAACGAGCUGAAUUCCUACGUUGCUGUUAAGAGGGUAUCAAGGGGAUCUAAACAAGGGAUAAAGGAGUAUGCAUCUGAGGUGAAGAGUAUUAGUCAACUCAGGCACAGGAAUUUAGUACAACUCACUGGUUGGUGCCACGAGAAAAAAGAUCUCCUACUAGUUUAUGAGUUCAUGCCCAAUGGCAGCUUAGAUUUGCAUCUUUUCAAAGGUGAAAGCUUGCUAACAUGGGUGAUGAGGUACAAUAUUGCCCAAGGCUUGGCAUUUGCAUUGCUAUACUUGCAUGAAGAAUGGGAACAAUGUGUGUUGCAUAGGGAUAUAAAGUCGAGUAACGUCAUGUUGGAUUCAAGUUUCAACGCAAAGCUUGGGGAUUUCGGCUUGGCUAGGCUGGUGGAUCAUGGAAAAGGAUCCCAAACCACAGUUGUGGCCGGGACCAUGGGCUACAUGGCCCCUGAAUGUUUUAUAUCAGGCAGGGCUAGCAAGGAAUCAGAUAUAUAUAGUUUCGGGAUUGUGCUUUUGGAGAUAGCCUGUGGAAGGAAACCCGUUGAAUCCCAAAGGACGGAAGAUGAAGUGAGUAUGGUAGAGUGGGUUUGGCAGCUUUAUGGAAUGGGAAAGCUUGUUGAUGCAGCCGAUCCCAGAUUGUGUGGGGACUUUGAUGAGCAGCAACUGGAACGGCUGAUGAUAGCUGGCCUUUGGUGUGCUCACCCAGACUACAAUCUCAGGCCUUCAAUUAGGAAAGUCGUUCACGUGCUUAGUUAUGAAGGUUCAUUGCCCGUUCUGGCACCAGAGAUGCCCCUACUAACCUACCUUGCCGCCCCACUUAGUGCAUCUGCAUCCUCAGCAUCCACCGCAGAAAAUAAGCACUCUCAAUCUGCAAGCCAUUCCGGUUCCACCGGCUCCUCACAGGUCACAUCUGCUGCAGCUUCUUCUUCAUCAUCUGCACUUCCUCACACACACUUGGUUAAUACCAGGUGACGGUUUAUAUUCGUUCAGCACUGUUGUGGGAAGAUAUUCUGAAAAGUUAAGAAGUCCAGGUUGAUGAUCCAAAUGAAGCCUAGAGGAAGAGGAUAAUUUCUUUUUUGGAGAUGGAGUAUUCAAUAACCCCCACAAAAAAUAUUCUCUCAACACCAUCACUCUAGUUCCCAUUGACGAGAAAGUAGGAGAACAAGGAAAUGGAAAUGAGCCGAUGAACUAGAACAAAGCAGCGCAACAACCAAAGAAAAAUAUAGCCUCAAGGAAGCAGCAGAAGAAGAGUUCUACAGUAAUCAGAUAUUCACUAUACCAAACUCAAAAUUUGAAGGCUUCGGGCAACAAGGUUCAGUCUCAAAUCAUGAAUUUAUUUCCUACGAAUCCAAAGACUGAUGUGGCAGAGUCUUCACUGCCACCAAAAGAACCAUGAGACUUCUUGCCUGGAAUUGCCAAGGCAUUGCCCGACCUCAUGCAACCAGAUCUCUCAAGGAAAAUAUUAGGGUUCACAACCCUGAUAUUAUUUUCCUUUCAGAAUGUUUAAUAGCUUCUAGUGAGUGUGUACGCACUAUUAAUAUGUUGGGGGUAUGUCUAUUUUGUGUACUCUCCUCCUAUCAGUAAAUGGGGAGGUCUUUUGAUCAUGUUUCGACCUAGUGUCGAUCUUGAUGUUGUACAUAACUCUAGUAAUAUUAUUUCUGUUUUGGUG